GACGAACGCUGGCGGCGUGCUUAACACAUGCAAGUCGAACGGAAAGGCCCUGCUUUUGUCUGGUGCUCGAGUGGCGAACGGGUGAGUAACACAUGAGUAACCAGCCCUUGACUUUGGGAUAACUUCUGGAAACUGCGGCUAAUACCGCAUCGGAGCUCCUGCUGCAUGGUGGGGGUUGGAAAGUUUCGGCGGUUGGUGAUGGACUCGCGGCUUAUCAGCUUGUUGGUGGGGUAGUGGCUUACCAAGGCUUUGACGGGUAGCCGGCCUGAGAGGGUGACCGGCCACAUUGGGACUGAGAUACGGCCCAGACUGCAACGGUAGGCAGCGGUGGGGAAUAUGACACAAUGGGCGGAAGCCUAAUGCAGCAACGCCGCGUGCGGGAUGACGGCCUUCGGGUUGUAAACCGAUUUCGCCUGAGACGAAGCGUGAGUGACGGUAAUGGGUAAAGAAGCACCGGCUAACUACGUG
This 468-nucleotide ribosomal RNA is filed under the name uncultured bacterium. RNAcentral describes it as "partial 16S ribosomal RNA". It matches the Rfam family "Bacterial small subunit ribosomal RNA", at positions 28 to 507 of the family's 1533-position model. The record is from RNAcentral.